Molecule: unclassified non-coding RNA, 253 nt
Filed under: uncultured Bacteroidota bacterium
Lineage: Bacteria; Pseudomonadati; Bacteroidota
Description: uncultured Bacteroidetes bacterium contains 16S-23S intergenic spacer region
Rfam family: Bacterial small subunit ribosomal RNA
Source: RNAcentral
UACGGAGGGUGCAAGCGUUAUCCGGAAUCAUUGGGUGUAAAGGGUGCGUAGGCGGGCGUUUAAGUCUGGGGUGAAAUCCUGCCGCUCAACGGUAGAAUGGCCUUGGAUACUGGACGUCUUGAGUACAACAGAGGCAGGUAGAAUUCGUAGUGUAGCGGUGAAAUGCAUAGAUAUUACGAAGAAUACCAGUGGCGAAGGCGGCCUGCUGGGUUGUUACUGACGCUGAGGCACGAGAGCGUGGGGAGCGAACAGG